RNAcentral lists this ribosomal RNA (535 nucleotides) under uncultured Sporidiobolus. RNAcentral describes it as "eukaryotic LSU rRNA". It matches the Rfam family "Eukaryotic large subunit ribosomal RNA", at positions 107 to 657 of the family's 3401-position model. Lineage: Eukaryota; Fungi; Basidiomycota; Microbotryomycetes; Sporidiobolales. The record is from RNAcentral.
GCUCAAAUUUGUAAUCUGGCGUCUUCGACGUCCGAGUUGUAAUCUCGAGAAGUGUUUUCCGUGAUAGACCGCAUACAAGUCUCUUGGAACAGAGCGUCAUAGUGGUGAGAACCCAGUACACGAUGCGGAUGCCUAUUACUUUGUGAUACACUUUCGAAGAGUCGAGUUGUUUGGGAAUGCAGCUCAAAUUGGGUGGUAAAUUCCAUCUAAAGCUAAAUAUUGGCGAGAGACCGAUAGCGAACAAGUACCGUGAGGGAAAGAUGAAAAGCACUUUGGAAAGAGAGUUAACAGUACGUGAAAUUGUUGGAAGGGAAACACAUGCAGUGAUACUUGCUAUUCGGGGCAACUCGAUUGGCAGGCCCGCAUCAGUUUUUCGGGGCGGAAAAUCGUAGAGAGAAGGUAGCAGUUUCGGCUGUGUUAUAGCUCUUUACUGGAUUCGCCCUGGGGGACUGAGGAACGCAGCGUGCUUUUAGCAUGAGCUUCGGCUUAUCCACGCUUAGGAUGCGGGUUUAUGGCUGUAUAUGACCCGUCUUGA